Molecule: ribosomal RNA, 497 nt
Filed under: uncultured bacterium
Lineage: Bacteria
Description: partial 16S ribosomal RNA
Rfam family: Bacterial small subunit ribosomal RNA
Source: RNAcentral
GAUGAACGCUGGCGGCGUGCCUAAUACAUGCAAGUCGAGCGAACGGACGAGAAGCUUGCUUCUCUGAUGUUAGCGGCGGACGGGUGAGUAACACGUGGAUAACCUACCUAUAAGACUGGGAUAACUUCGGGAAACCGGAGCUAAUACCGGAUAAUAUUUUGAACCACAUGGUUCAAAAGUGAAAGACGGUCUUGCUGUAACUUAUAGAUGUAUCAGCGCUGCAUUAGCUAGUUGGUAAGGUAACGGCUUACCAAGGCAACGAUGCAUAGGCGACCUAAGAGGGUGAAUGCCCACACGGGAUCUGAGACAGGGUCCAGACACUGACGGUAGGCAGCAGUAGGGAAUCUUACGCAAUGGGCGAAAGCCGGACGGAGCAAAGCGGCGUGAGUGAUGAAGGUCUUCGGAUCGGAAAACUCUGUUAUUAGGGAAGAACAAAUGUGUAAGUAACUGUGCACAUCUUGACGGUACCUAAUCAGAAAGCAACGGCUAACUACGUG